CGUGAGUGAUGAAGGCCUUCGGGUCGUAAAGCUCUGUCAAGUGGGAAGAACCUGAUUAUUGUUAAUAUCAGUAAUCACUGACGGUACCACUGAAGGAAGCACCGGCUAACUCCGUGCCAGCAGCCGCGGUAAUACGGGGGGUGCAAGCGUUAUUCGGAAUUAUUGGGCGUAAAGAGCGCGUAGGCGGCCAGUUAAGUCAGAUGUGAAAGCCCGGGGCUCAACCCCGGAAGUGCAUUUGAAACUAAUUGGCUUGAGUAUGGGAGAGGGAAGUGGAAUUCCUGGUGUAGAGGUGAAAUUCGUAGAUAUCAGGAGGAACACCGGUGGCGAAGGCGACUUCCUGGACCAAUACUGACGCUGAGGCGCGAAGGCGUGGGGAGCAAACAGGAUUAGAUACCCUGGUAGUCCACGCAGUAAACGGUGAUCACUAGGUGUAGCGGGUAUUGACCCCUGCUGUGCCGGAGUUAACGCAUUAA
Molecule: ribosomal RNA, 473 nt
Filed under: uncultured delta proteobacterium
Lineage: Bacteria; Deltaproteobacteria
Description: bacterial SSU rRNA
Rfam family: Bacterial small subunit ribosomal RNA
Source: RNAcentral